This 1354-nucleotide ribosomal RNA is filed under the name Salmonella enterica. RNAcentral's name for it is "partial 23S ribosomal RNA". It matches the Rfam family "Bacterial large subunit ribosomal RNA", at positions 1589 to 2925 of the family's 2925-position model. Lineage: Bacteria; Pseudomonadati; Pseudomonadota; Gammaproteobacteria; Enterobacterales; Enterobacteriaceae. The record is from RNAcentral.
AGCAACAAAUGCCCUGCUUCCAGGAAAAGCCUCUAAGCAUCAGGUAACAUCAAAUCGUACCCCAAACCGACACAGGUGGUCAGGUAGAGAAUACCAAGGCGCUUGAGAGAACUCGGGUGAAGGAACUAGGCAAAAUGGUGCCGUAACUUCGGGAGAAGGCACGCUGACACGUAGGUGAAGUGAUUUACUCAUGGAGCUGAAGUCAGUCGAAGAUACCAGCUGGCUGCAACUGUUUAUUAAAAACACAGCACUGUGCAAACACGAAAGUGGACGUAUACGGUGUGACGCCUGCCCGGUGCCGGAAGGUUAAUUGAUGGGGUCAGCGCAAGCGAAGCUCCUGAUCGAAGCCCCGGUAAACGGCGGCCGUAACUAUAACGGUCCUAAGGUAGCGAAAUUCCUUGUCGGGUAAGUUCCGACCUGCACGAAUGGCGUAAUGAUGGCCAGGCUGUCUCCACCCGAGACUCAGUGAAAUUGAACUCGCUGUGAAGAUGCAGUGUACCCGCGGCAAGACGGAAAGACCCCGUGAACCUUUACUAUAGCUUGACACUGAACAUUGAGCCUUGAUGUGUAGGAUAGGUGGGAGGCUUUGAAGUGUGGACGCCAGUCUGCAUGGAGCCGACCUUGAAAUACCACCCUUUAAUGUUUGAUGUUCUAACGUGGACCCGUUACCCGGGUUGCGGACAGUGUCUGGUGGGUAGUUUGACUGGGGCGGUCUCCUCCUAAAGAGUAACGGAGGAGCACGAAGGUUGGCUAAUCCUGGUCGGACAUCAGGAGGUUAGUGCAAUGGCAUAAGCCAGCUUGACUGCGAGCGUGACGGCGCGAGCAGGUGCGAAAGCAGGUCAUAGUGAUCCGGUGGUUCUGAAUGGAAGGGCCAUCGCUCAACGGAUAAAAGGUACUCCGGGGAUAACAGGCUGAUACCGCCCAAGAGUUCAUAUCGACGGCGGUGUUUGGCACCUCGAUGUCGGCUCAUCACAUCCUGGGGCUGAAGUAGGUCCCAAGGGUAUGGCUGUUCGCCAUUUAAAGUGGUACGCGAGCUGGGUUUAGAACGUCGUGAGACAGUUCGGUCCCUAUCUGCCGUGGGCGCUGGAGAACUGAGGGGGGCUGCUCCUAGUACGAGAGGACCGGAGUGGACGCAUCACUGGUGUUCGGGUUGUCAUGCCAAUGGCACUGCCCGGUAGCUAAAUGCGGAAGAGAUAAGUGCUGAAAGCAUCUAAGCACGAAACUUGCCCCGAGAUGAGUUCUCCCUGAGACUUAAAGUCUCCUGAAGGAACGUUGAAGACGACGACGUUGAUAGGCCGGGUGUGUAAGCGCAGCGAUGCGUUGAGCUAACCGGUACUAAUGAACCGUGAGGCUU